ACUCCUUCCCUGCCUUUCCUACGUAUCACUCGCUCGCUGAAAGUUGGAGCUCCUUACCCAAAGACUGGGCGGAAGGGGUGACCACCCUGGACCCCUGCCCGACUUCCCGUUAAGCCAAGCCGCCGUCCUGAAAGGGGAUCGUGUCCAGGCCGGCUUCCUGGAGACACACCUGCGCCUGCACACACCCACUGCGGUCGCGUCACCAGUGCCGCGGCCACCUGGACGAAGACCAAAGUCUGGAGGGAAUUCCCUCAGCCACAAAGCGAUGGGAAAGCGGUACCCGGUGGAGACCAGAGUCUUGCUAUGCUUUCCAGGCUGGUUUUGAACUCCUAGCCUCAGGCGAUUUUCCUGCCUCAGCUUCCCAAAGUGCUGGGAUUACAGGCACAAGCCACUGCACCCAGCCCUGUUGUUUUUAAGAAAAUUACAAGUUAAAUCUUGUACCAGUGAACAAGGUUUGUAUAGACGAUUUUAUUGUCUUGAAAUUUUAUUUUAUCUCACUUUAAAAAAAUAGAAGCAUAUUAGAAUAUACUUUGUUCUAUACCCAAAUCUUGUGUUAAACUCUUUAAAAAUGUCUUUUCAAUGUUUGGUAAAACCUGCAAUGAGUCAUACAGAUGUAUAUUUCACAUUAAUUAUUAAUCAUUAUAAUUUAGAAAUGUUAAUUAUAAUCAUUUAAAGAAACUUCAACAAACUAAUGGUUAUUGAAGUUAGAUUAAGAAUAUCUAUAAUCAUGAAGAGUAGUGGCCUAAUACAGUAAUGAAAGACAGAUCUUUAAAUUUAAAAAGGAAAAAUGUGAUUGUGUGUUUUCAUACGUUAUUAAGUUGUAGACAAUAUACCAAAAUAUACAUAAGAGGACAUCCACUUAUGGCCACAGAUAGUAGCUAAUGCCAGACACAUCCUCCCACUAGAAACAACUAGAAAUACACAAGAUAACUGAUUCUAGACAUUUGACAACAAACAUUGCAGGGCAGUGAUACUUGAGAGAAAGGAAACACAAAGUGAUCUGCACGUCCUCUUCAGCUUUCUGUCUGGGGACACCAAGUAGACUAAAAGGAAGUGGAAUCCAAGGAAAUAUGGAAGUCUUGCUGAGCUGAAGAAAUCUAGAUAAAAGUUUAGAGUAGUUGUCAUCCCUGAAAUCUGUAAAACAAAAUACCAGAAAGAAAGGAGUGUGCAGAAGAGGACAAAGAAGAUUUCACAAGCGUUCCUGUGUAGCCCAUGUGCAGGAUAGGACUUAAUGAGGCCUAGCAGAGAAUGGUUGCUAUGAACAAGAGAACUGGGCCAAGAUAUCAUAGGCUGUGCAGUACUGCAAACACUGGAAUACUUUCCCUGCCUAAAUGGAGAGACCUUACUAAGCACCUCAUCUGUUCAAUUGAAAUUCUAAAGAGGAUACACCUUAGGAGUAAAUACCAUGCCCCAGACAAAGGGCCAUGUUUCAGGACUAAGGAUAAAACUGACAUAGAAUAAAUAAUAAUAAUACAUAACAAAACAAAGCCUAGCAAGAUCAAGAGGAUUUUUUAGUAGUUUAAUAGCCUGAUAGAAUAAACCUCAACACCAUUUAAAAGAAGAUAACAUAAUCCAGACUCUCUAUAACUCCUUUAUAACAAUAUUCAACAGGAGGUUAAAAAAUAUUGUACCUGUAAAGAAGCAGAAAUAUGUGACACAUAAUCAAAAUAAGACAUGGUCAAUAGAAGCAGAAUCCAAGAUGACCCAAAUGUUGGAAUUAUAAGAUGAGGUCUUUAAAACAGCUAUUAUAAAUAUAUGUAAGGAUGCAUGGGAAAAGAUGAAUAUGUGAUUAAACAGAUGAGAAUGAUCAGCAAAGAAAUAAACCAAAUGGAUAUAUUAGAAAUAAAAAGCAAAUAUCUGAAAUGUAAAAUUUAUUCGAUGGUUAGAGCAGUUGAAGAUAGCAAAAGAAUGGGUGAAUUAUCUCUAAGAGAGAGCAAUAGAAAUUAUAUAAUUUAAUAACAGAAAGGAAAAGAUUGGAAAAAAUAUAUAAACAGCCUCAGUGAACUCUGGAACAACCCUACAAAGUUAGUAUAUAUAUAAUUGGAGUCCUAAGGCUAAGCAUGGUGGCUCAUACCUGUAAUCUCAACACUUUGGGAGGCUGAGGCAGGAAGAUCACUUGAGCCCAGGAGUUCAAGACCAGCCUGAGCAACACAAUGAGACCCCCAUCUCUACCAAAAAAAAAAAAAAGCCGGGCAUGGUGGCACAUGUCUAUAGUACUAGCUACUUGGGAAGCUGAGGUGGGAGGAUCACUUAAGCCUUGAAGUAAAGGCUGCAGUGAACUCUGAUUGUACCACUGUGCUCCGGCCCGUGCUGGACAGAGUGAGACCCUAUCUCUAAAAUAAAUGAUAAUAAUAAUUAGAGUCUCAGUAAAAGAAAGGAAAAAGAAAAUGGGGUAGAGUGAAAUUUAAAAAAAAAAUUCUCUAAUUUGGUGAAAAACAUCAGCCUACAGAUUGAAGAAUCAACAAACUCCAAGCAGAAUAAAUACAAAAAAUAAAAUAAAGAAAGAAAACACACCAGCUACACUGUAGUCAAAAGGUUAAAAACCAAAAAUAUAGAAUAAAUGUUGAAACAGAAAAAAAAGUCAAUGACAUAAGGGGAACAAUGCUAUGAAUCACAGUUGACUUCUUACUAGAAACAGUGGAGGCCAAAAGAAAUGGAAUGAUGUCAUUAAAGUACUGAAAGAAUAGAGCAACCCAGCUUUUUUUUUUUUUUUAAGACCUUGUCUGGCUCAGUCACCUAGACUGGAGUGAAGUGAUGCAAUCACAGCUCACUGCAGCCUCACCCUCCUAAGCUCAAGUGAUCCUCUCACCUCAGCCUCCCGAUUAGCUAGGACUACGAGUGUAUGCCACUAUGUCCAACUAAUUCUUUAUUUUUUUUUGUAGAGAUGGGGUCUCAGCUACGUUGCCCAAACUGUUCUUGAACUCCUGGGUUCAAGCAAUCCUCCUGCCUUAGCCUUCCAAAGUGCUGGGAUUACGAGUGUGAGCUACCACACCUGGCCAGAAUUCUAACAUUUUCUCAAAAAUGAAAACAAAAAAGACAUUUUCUGAUAAACAAAUGCUGGAAGGAUUCAUUGUAAACUAUAUUAAAUACUAAUAGAAGAAUUGGGGGUGGUGGUGGUGAUGGAAAAUGAUAGCAGAGGGAAAUCUAAACUAAAGAAAGUAAUAAAUAGCACCAGAAAUGGUAAGUAGACGUGUAAAUAUAAAGAACUUUUUUCUUCUCAUUUUUUUAAAACAACAGACUAUUUAAAGACAAAUAUAUUGUAGGACUCUCAAUUCAUGUAGAAGUAAAAUACAUAACAGCAAUAACAAAAAAGGACAGAGGGUUUUCUGUGUGUGUGUGUGUGUGUGUGUGUGUGUGUGUGUGUGUGUGUGUGUUUAUUUUAAGCAAUGCUUUUGGAGAAAGAAAAAAAGGACAGAGUUAACAAAAUUGUACUAUUGUAAGAUUCUUACAUUUCACAUGAAGUAGUACAAUAUUAACUCUAAACAGACUGUUAAGGUUGUGCUGACUACUAUGGUAGUCAGUAGCCACAAGUGACUAAAUUUAAACUUAAAUUAAUUAAAAAUAAAUAAAAUUUAAAUUUCAGUCUUCAGUUGUACUAGCCAUAUUUCAAGGUAUCAACAGUCACAUGUAGCCAGUGUCUACCAUAUAGGAAAGAUACAGAACAUUUUCACUACUAAAGAACAUUUAGUUGGAGAAUGCUGCCCUAGAGCAACCAUAAAAAAAAAUAUACAGACAUAUAACUUUAAAAUCAAUCAAUGAAUUAGAAUACUAAGAAUAUUGUAUAAACCAAAAUAAAUCCAUGAAGGAGGAAAUGAGAAACAAACAAAAAAUGAGACAAGCAGAAAACAAAUAGCAAGGUGAUAGACUUAAAUCCUACCAAAUCAAUAAUUAUAUUAAAUAUAAAUGAACUAAACAGUCCAAAGAAAAGAAAAAGAUUGCAAGGAUGAAUAAAAAGCAAGAUUCAAGUAAGAGCUUCGGCAUGAGAUGCAAUGCAUUUUAAAGAUCCAGAUAGAGUGAAAGUAAAAGGAAGGGAAAACAUAGACCAAGCAAAUCUAAGAAACCUGGUAUUGAUAUACUAUUAUUAUACAAAACAAACUUCAAGUCAAAAAGAAUUAUCAAAGUUGAAGAGUGACAUUCCUUAAUGAAAAAUGGUCAUUUCAUCAUGAAGACAUAAAAAAUAUAAAUGUUUAUGUGACUAAGAAGCUUCAAGUAUAAGACGCGACAUAUGAAAAUUAAAGGAACAGGCCCAGCACAGUGGCUCAUGCCUAUAAUCCCAGAACUUUGGGAGGCCAAGGUGAGAGGAAUGCUCAAGCCCAGGAGUUCGAGACCAGCCUGGGCAACACAGUGAGAUCCUGUCUCUACAAAAAAAUGUUAAAAUUAGGUGGGCAUGGUGGUAGACAUCUGUAGUUGUAGCAUCUGUAGCUACUCGAGAGGCUGGGGCAGGAGGAUUGUUUGAACCCAGGAAGUCAAGGCUACAAUGAGCUGUGAUCAUGCCACUGCACUCCAGCCUGGAUGACAGAGUGAGACCCUGUCUCAAAAAAAAAAAGA
RNAcentral lists this non-coding RNA (4548 nucleotides) under Pongo abelii (Sumatran orangutan). The record is from RNAcentral. Lineage: Eukaryota; Metazoa; Chordata; Mammalia; Primates; Hominidae.